GCGGGCGUAGUUUAAUGGUAGAACAUGAGCUUCCCAAGCUUAGAGCGCGAGUUCGAUUCUCGUCGCCCGCUCCA
Molecule: transfer RNA, 74 nt
Filed under: Kitasatospora aureofaciens
Lineage: Bacteria; Bacillati; Actinomycetota; Actinomycetes; Kitasatosporales; Streptomycetaceae
Also listed under: 210 other names
Description: Streptomyces aureofaciens tRNA-Gly
Rfam family: tRNA
About the family: Transfer RNA (tRNA) molecules are approximately 80 nucleotides in length. Their secondary structure includes four short double-helical elements and three loops (D, anti-codon, and T loops). Further hydrogen bonds mediate the characteristic L-shaped molecular structure. tRNAs have two regions of fundamental functional importance: the anti-codon, which is responsible for specific mRNA codon recognition, and the 3' end, to which the tRNAs corresponding amino acid is attached (by aminoacyl-tRNA synthetases). tRNAs cope with the degeneracy of the genetic code in two manners: having more than one tRNA (with a specific anti-codon) for a particular amino acid; and 'wobble' base-pairing, i.e. permitting non-standard base-pairing at the 3rd anti-codon position.
Source: RNAcentral